Molecule: ribosomal RNA, 882 nt
Filed under: Didymella camporesii
Lineage: Eukaryota; Fungi; Ascomycota; Dothideomycetes; Pleosporales; Didymellaceae
Description: Didymella sp. ISM-2019a partial large subunit ribosomal RNA
Rfam family: Eukaryotic large subunit ribosomal RNA
Source: RNAcentral
ACAGGGAUUGCCCUAGUAACGGCGAGUGAAGCGGCAACAGCUCAAAUUUGAAAUCUGGCGUCUUUGGCGUCCGAGUUGUAAUUUGCAGAGGGCGCUUUGGCAUUGGCAGCGGUCCAAGUUCCUUGGAACAGGACGUCACAGAGGGUGAGAAUCCCGUACGUGGUCGCUAGCCUUUACCGUGUAAAGCCCCUUCGACGAGUCGAGUUGUUUGGGAAUGCAGCUCUAAAUGGGAGGUAAAUUUCUUCUAAAGCUAAAUACUGGCCAGAGACCGAUAGCGCACAAGUAGAGUGAUCGAAAGAUGAAAAGCACUUUGGAAAGAGAGUUAAAAAGCACGUGAAAUUGUUGAAAGGGAAGCGCUUGCAGCCAGACUUGCCUGUAGUUGCUCAUCUAGGUUUCUACCUAGUGCACUCUUCUAUAGGCAGGCCAGCAUCAGUUUGGGCGGUUGGAUAAAGGUCUCUGUCAUGUACCUCUCUUCGGGGAGAACUUAUAGGGGAGACGACAUGCAACCAGCCUGGACUGAGGUCCGCGCAUCUGCUAGGAUGCUGGCGUAAUGGCUGUAAGCGGCCCGUCUUGAAACACGGACCAAGGAGUCUAACAUCUAUGCGAGUGUUUGGGUGUCAAGCCCGAGCGCGUAAUGAAAGUGAACGGAGGUGGGAACCUUUCGGGGUGCACCAUCGACCGAUCCUGAUGUCUUCGGAUGGAUUUGAGUAAGAGCAUAGCUGUUGGGACCCGAAAGAUGGUGAACUAUGCUUGAAUAGGGUGAAGCCAGAGGAAACUCUGGUGGAGGCUCGCAGCGGUUCUGACGUGCAAAUCGAUCGUCAAAUUUGGGCAUAGGGGCGAAAGACUAAUCGAACUAUCUAGUAGCUGGUUCCUGCCGAAGUU